AUUUAUAUAGUAUAAUUUAAUAAUUACAUUUAAUUUCCAAUUAAAAAAUUUAAUUUAAUUUAAUAUAAAUA
Molecule: transfer RNA, 71 nt
Filed under: Acropyga myops
Lineage: Eukaryota; Metazoa; Arthropoda; Insecta; Hymenoptera; Formicidae
Description: tRNA-Gly
Source: RNAcentral